UUUUUUUUUUUUUGUGUAAUACAAGAGUUGACCAGUCCACUCCUAUCAUAAUGAAUUUAUCCUCCCGCCCCCACCCCCACCCACUUCUAUUCUGUAAUUUGAAGCGCAAUUUAUCAGCAAAAUACACAGCAAACCUUAUCAUCAUCUUCCCAACAGAGACAGACGCUACUCCUGCUACUAGCUCACUGUCAAAUUCCGAUGGCUACUAAUGUCAUCCAGCUCCUCCGUCAUGCAUACUAUUUCCAUUACCAAAGCUCUUCCAACUCAAAAUCCUUAGCAGCCUCUCAUUAUUCCACACCACACCCGAAACCAUACUCAGUCAAAUGCUCCAACGCUCCAAUGCUCAUGAACCUGAAGACGAGUUCUUCCCCGCUGCCCCAGCCUCCGAAGCCACCGUCCCCCCAGAAAAAUUCCCGAUCGAGAAAAGAAGAAAAUCGGAAAUAAUCCGGGACAGAAGGUCAAGAAGUGGCCUUGUUAAACCCGAGCCACCGAAUCUUGAGAUAGGGUGGAAAAGGACUAAGCCUAUCAAGCUGGAAAAGCCAGUAGGGUACGUGAUCAUGGAUUUCUUGGAGAAGUUGGAGCAGCUAAUGGGGAAGGAAUUUGGCUCGACUACGCUGUUAGCGAAAGCAGGAGAGAUUGUGGCAGAGAGAGCUAGAGAAGAAGCAGAAGUUUUGAAGGACGAAGGCAAAGUUGAUGACAGGAUGGUUACUGAACUUUUUAGAGUACUGAAGCUGAUGGAGAUGGAUUUGGCUAUGGUUAGAGCUGCAGUGAAAGAGGAGACGUUGAUUGAGAGACUCGAACAAGCUAAAGCAAGGUGCAGACAAGCUAUUCUUGUUGCUAAUUCAUUUUAAAGCUGUUCUUGUUCCAGAGAACCUUCUAAUGUUUAUGCAAUACAGGGAACUGAUCAUCUAGAAUUGAACGUGUCAUGUAGUUUUGUGUUUGUCCUGAUAGAGAACAUACGGUAAAGUAAAGGGGCUCUUUUUGUUUUGGAUUUCUGUCUGUUGUUUACCAAAUGAGGGACGGAUAAUGCGAGCAAAGUCGGUUGGAGAACUCUUCUCAUCUUAUUUAAUUAUUUUUCAUCCUGUGUAAGUUGUCCUUCCAAUUCCAUGUUGAUUGGAAAUGUUGAGGUGAGUCAUCUAAUCUCCUAUAUUACCAAUAGAAUAUCAGAGCGAGCAAAUUGAACAAAUGAUAGGUCAAGAUCAUGCUGUUCAUUGGGAAUUGAAAACGUUCAAAAUUAUGCCACAAAUAGAUGUGGCAAGUGGAGCUCCAGUUGAGCUUGCCACAAAUACGAUAUCACAUUUAGGGUGAGGAUUAGCAUAGAACUUCAAAAUGAAGGUUGAACUCCUUAGAAGCUAGUUUUCCAACAUGGAUGGUGUUUUCUUUAUCAAGCUUCAGUGACCAGAUAUUUCCCAUGGCAAUUGGACUUGAAUACUUUGUUUGUCUAACCACACCUCUGUCGUUAUUACUACAGUAAUAAAAAUUUAUCAAGCUGAAGGGAUGAUGAGGGAGUUAGAACGAGGAACGAAAGAAAGUCCGACAAUAAACUAAUAGGGCAGGCUUCUUUAGGUCCCAAUUAAUUUUUCCGACAGGAACUCGGAAAGGAAAGAAGGGGAUUUGCCGGUUCUCCAGAUAUCAGUGGCUGAUGCCUCGACCUGUAAAAAUCUCUCGGAACUAUAAUGAGCAACAGAAAGAUAACAGUAUAAUUUAACCAGACAUAGAUGGAAAUGGAAAUAAUGAAACGAGAUAAUAUUUCAACAACAGGAGAACAUUAUUAUUAUGCCUCUGAACUUCCUAAAUUCGGAUUGAAGAACUAAGGAAGAAUAUUACACCUUUACAUUUUUCUUCUUUUUCUUUUUCUUUUUCUUUCCUUUUGAAGGAACGGAUCCAGUAAAUGUUGCCUGACAUUCCUGGAUGACCCGGCUAACAUGAGGAUCAUCUCUUGGUAUUUUAUUCAAAAUACUUUGUGCAGAUUUAUGAUCGCCCAAUGCCAAAAGGGCCUGAUACAUCCUUACAAAACUUAGAACGUUGUAUGGAAGACCAGCUGCCUUGUACUCUUUCCAAAUAAGAAAACAAGAUUCCAAAUCCUUGGCACUAACACAAGCUGUAAGCAGAAAAUCAAGACUUUUCCGUGAGGGGCGUAGAUCAAGGUCUUUGACAGCUUGAAGCAUGGCCAAGCCAAAAUGCAUAUCUGUUGGCUCUUUCUCAGCAAUUUGGCAAAACACCUCAUCAAAGAUAUUUUCUGUUGCUGCAUCAUCAGAAAUGACACUCUGCUUUAGUUGCCUAAGCAAAUCAACUGCAGACGUUAGAUGCUCAUGCCGAAUACAGUAUAAAACAACCCUAAAGCACCCAUCAAACCAGUAAUCAGGGUUAUCCAAUUCCUUGAGUAACUGGAGCAAUCUGUCCAAUUGACCUUCCGAUUGGAGAUGUUCGAUCAAACUAAUAACUGCCUUGGGCUCCAAACGACCUUCUGCUUGCUUGAUUUCUUCAUACAGAUUGAGAGCAUCAGACAUCUGUCCAUGUGAUGCAAGAGCCGAAACAAGCACACUUUUAACUUCAUUCAAGCUCUUGGCUGGUAUUCGUUUAUCCAACAUUACCUGUUUAGCCUUUUCAAAUUGUCCACAUGAUACAUAUGCAUUGAUGAGGGACAUAAAAACAAUCUUCGUGAUGAGAACUCCAGACUGCUUCAUUUCUUCAACAAUCUUAUCAAUAUCCUCUUCAGAGUCACAGUUGACCAAAAGGUAACUGUAUGUCUGGGAAUCUGGCUUCACAUCUGCAUCUUUCAUUUGUUUGAGAACCAUCAAUGCACCAUUAAUGUUUUUAUCACGGAAGUAUCCAGCCAUUAUGGCAUUGUAUAUGUUUGAUGUAGGCAUCAAAUUCAAUUUAUCCAGAUCCACUAUCAUGCCAUACGCACCUUCAAAAUCUUUCAUUUUCACACUGAGAUUUAUCAUCCUCCUGAAUGUUUCAGUACUUGGUUUCAAGUCAUGGCAAGAUAUCAUGGAAUAGAGGCGACGAACCAAAUUAUACUCCCUGCUUUCCUCGCAGGCAUCCAACAGGGAAUGAAAUGUAUCCAAUGACAAGGUAAAUCCUACUUUUAACAUCUCAUCUACAAUGUUAAGCGCAUCAUGUACCUUGAGCAAUUCACAGCAACACUGAAUAAACUUUUCAUAAUGCUCAGACAAAGGCAUCAGUUCUAAUUUUGCUAGCAAAGCUUUAAACUUGACAAGGACAUUUUCAACUGCUAAAUUUGGUAUGCUAGUCACAUAGUUGUAGAUGAAGUUUGAGAUCUUUUCUGCUCCAAUUUCAUCCAUUUUUAAUGCCAACAAGAACCUCUCUGCAAAGAGGUCCAGCGAGAGCUUCCCCAAAGAUCUGAAAAUAUUCACCAAAUGCUCCAUAGAUGAAACUUUUGUAAUGUCAAAAGCUUCCAAUAAGGGCAAAAGCUCCUUUUUCCGGUUACUUUCACAAAAUGCUAAAAGAUAGCUCUGUUGAAAGGAGGACUUAUCGUUACCAUCAUACAGUGCAAGAUUAUAACAAAGCUCCUGUAUCUUUUCUUCAUCAUUCACUCCAAUGUAAAGAAGCAUCUCAUAGUAAGUUAAUGUGGGGAGUGAAUUCUCGUCUCUGAUUAGUUCACAGAAGAAGUGAAACUCAGGAACCAAGCCAAAAUCAAUAAGAUACCUAAGGAAGGGACCAUAAGUAAUUUCCCUAUUGGGAAUCCCAAUUCCUUCAUCCAUUCAAAAAUUUUGUAAGCCUUGAAAAUCUGCUGUAGGGAAACUUCUUCAUCAUCAGUUUUCCUGGCUGUUUCUAUGCACAGUCGAAUUAAAGCAUUAAAUUCUUUCAAUCCAGUUCCUCGUCCCAAUUUACCAAGUAUCUGAAUGGUCGCAUCUGGCCCCAACUUCUCCCCACACAUUGUUGUUAGUCGGUCAAAACGAUUUUUCUGACUACUGCUAAAGAUCCACUUCUGCUUUCGCUCCCGGGAUAUUUCUUUCCUACGCAGAGAUAUGUUGUUUUCUGCUGAGCGUGAGAUCCACGGAUCAUGCAAAACAUUGCUGAAAGAUUCUUCACUAUCACUUGCUGAAUCAUAUGAGCCAUCCACGUGGUAAUCUCGCUCACCUGCAUUAACCGUCAAGAACAAGAAUUAAAUGGUUGAAUCCAACCAAUACUUUCCAUUCUCACAAUGCAAAAACAAAAGAAUUUUCCAUUUGUUCCAUUAUGAUGUCCUAAACAGGACAAACCUUUAACUGUCAGGCGCCUAUAAGCUGAAAGUGCAGACACACAACUUCAUAUCUUACUUAUGCAGAAGAUCAUCACAAGCAAGACUCCAUACUCUCUUGAAACUUCAAAUUUCUGGCUACAUCCAGUCAACAAACUUAAAAUACUGCAUCUUAGCAAGCCAUAAUACCCAACGCUUUCCCAUAAUAUAAUCAAAGUUUACUAGAUGUCAAUUAUAUUUUAAAAAAAAUGUUAAUUUCCUCUGUUCUACAGGUUGAACCUCUUUCUUUUUUCUUCUUUCUAAAACAAUUUCUGAAGGGGAAAACAGAAGCAGGGAAGGCUAAAUGGGGACAGUGAGAACUGAGAGUGAAGGAACAAAGACCAUUAACCACAAAUCAGAGACCUUAAAUGGCCAAGUAUUUCAUUCCGGACAUUUUAAUGUUAUACCACGUAAAUAAGCUGCUUUGGAAGCAUCUUGAUAUGUAAUUACCGCAAGAUAUAACAGUAGCAUUCUCUCCACAAACUGCAAAUAUAACAAACACUCUCUGAAUAUCUAUAAUUCCGAUCAACAACAUUAUUAUUUUUUUUAUUUAAAUAUCCAUCCUACAAGUAGUACAAAAAUGGCCCAAGAAUUUCAAAACAAGUACAGGUAAAAACAGAAAAAUGAUUUACUCAACCACGUAAUAUUGCAGAUAUCUCCUCCGACAGCAGCCUCGCCGACUCGUCUACUUGCAACAACAGCCAGCAAACACCAUUAGCAAAACAGAAAUAGUUUAAAGUAACAGUACUAGUCGCAGAACUGAAGCAGAAAAUGAAAAUGAUGAACAAAAUACCGUUAUCAGCAGCAGAGAGAAGCUUCAAGUUUCCGAUCCCACCGAUAUCCCCGAGAGGCUUGAGAAAAGAAGCAGUAUCAAUACUAGAAGAAGAAGAGAUGUCUGAUUUAGGUGCCUUGUAGUUGAGUAACUGCUUGCGGAUAGUCUCGGAGGUGGAGACAUUUAUGGAGGAAACGUAUUUUUUCAGAGCAACGUCCUCAGCCGAGGUGGCGGUGGUGGUUUUGAAUUUAGAGGCGGAACGGAAAAGGUUGCCGAGGUUUUUGAGCUUAGUGGCGGGCAUGAGAAGAUGUCCGGCGAAUGUUUGUUGAAAUGCAUAUAGUGUGGGCGUUCGCCGAAGCUUUUUCUUCCCCACCCUUUUUUUCGCAAGAUAUUUGUGGGCUAAUGGACCAGCGGUUGAUGUGUUGUAUUCCCUCCAUGUCCAUGUGCGUGAGAAGAGAGUGUUUGCCAAAAUUGGAUUGGUGACGAAAAGGUGAGUUGGGCAUAUCCUGAAUUAGUAGCACUUCACUAAUUGUAAGGCCUUGCACCUAACGUAGAAAGGUUUUUGGGGUUUUGGGCCUCCCCCGAUCGGACAAUUUAUGGGUUCUUGGGUUGUGGUGUGGGUUUCGCUUCAGUGCCUUCAGGGUCCAACUCAAUUUGAAGAAAUGUAUAGUUAGGUGAUUAUGAGAUUAAUUCGAGUCUUGAUUUUUAUUAUUUAAAUAAAAAUUAAACAUUCAAAAAAAAAAAAAAUAUGAAUGUUACUGUUACACAUUUUGUGAUUUUAAAAGUCACUAUUUUUCUAAUUCAUUAGUAUCCUAUCUCGUUAUCCCUAUAUUUUUAUUCUCAAACAGUUCGUUUUGCGAAUAUUUAAAAAUCUCAAACGAUACAAAAAAAUUACAGACUUGUUUAGUGGCGUCUUCUGCUGGCAUAUAUGUACUACCCUCUCCCCACCAAUCCUCACGCUAUUGGCAACUUAAUUACUCGUGUAAAAUGCAAAUUCCUAUUCUCUCUAAGACGGCUGGUGUAUGUAUCUUACGUGAUCUAAGUGCAAAUGAGAUUAUCAUAAGGAGCUAGCUAACAAGGAAGAAGAGAAAAACUCGGAUUUUGCUGGCAGCAUCCAUAUGAGGAGGAAGAGCGUGCAAGUUUAACACGUUUUCACAAACAGGUGAGGAAUAGGAUGAGAUUGAGCAAAAUUGUUUAGUUAACUGCAUUGGGAGACCAACAAAUAAUACAGGACGAAUGGGAAAUGACAGAUACGCGCGUUAUAAAAAUAUAUAACUUGAUAUGAAAGAAGGAUUCUGCGUUGAAUAGGCUAAAGCUCUUACUUAUUCUCUUUUUGGGAUUUUCGCGUGAAUGAUUCAAUUCAUAAACAUAAAACCAUGAAGUAACGUGCGGUAUCUAACCAAGUAGACGUUAAUUUCAUCUAACAGUUGAGUUAAAUAUUAAUAUAACAUUUGGGGAACAUCAAUCCAGCAUGGAUGGAGCACUUGUCCCAUAACAGGUGAAUUGUAACCUGUGCUCUUGCAUAGGCACAAGCAAAACAAGAACGAAGUAAAAUAAUCCUUUCCAAAUUUGGUGGAUUGCUAACGAGAAUUCGGACACUUUGUUUUGGCCGCGAAAGGUUCCUUUACCAGUUAGUAAACACUGGGAAAAGUACAGCAAACAGUACAUGUUAUGGUAGGAUGGAAAGAAGCAGCAAACAAUGAAAAGGCAACUGAUAAAGACUGGUUUUAAUGUGAAACAGUCGUAUUUUUAUACGUCCGAGGCCAAGAGGAAGCAGCCGGCUAUUCUGAUCACAAUGUACUGCUGCCCCGUAAUCACAAAUGACAGUGGAAGCGAUAAAGUGCCUGCUCCUAGAAUAAAAUAACGUUCUAGAUUCUGUAAUUCAUUUAUGUUAUUUAUGAAGAACAUGGUGUCCAGAAACUAGAGACUUCCUUCAGAUAAUAUAUUUCGGCUAAUCGGCAGUAGCAUAUUUAGCGUAUUCAAAAGGUGAUAUUCCCUCUUGGAGGGGGCAAUUAGAACUCAGAAAUGGGAAGUAACAAUGGCAUGUUUCGAUAUGCUGAUGGAGUGGACAAGCUGCUGAUGACUUUUGGGACGUUAGGUAGCAUUGGAGAUGGAUUGCAGAUUCCUCUAAUGAUGUUUGUGUUGAGCGAUGUCAUCAAUACUUACGGAAAUCCCAGUGGUGCACUCUCUUUCGAUACCCUUAAUGAGGUAACAAAAGUUAACAUGCUGUUGUCUUCAACUAUUGCUAAUCCAGUUAACAUUAUGGAGUCAGAUCAGGGGAGAAAAUGUUUUAACAAACAUAACUCUCUAUGGUGUAACAUAUUAUGUAGCCCUUAUCAUGCAUGACAAAAAAGGCCAAACAAUUGUGUUUUGAGGUUGUGGAUUUAAUAUCUUCAGUCACUUGUGCGCAAGUUUGGAGUUAGAUUAGCACGAGUUAGCGAAAAUACUAGCUCAGACACCACUUGCCAACAAAUCCAGUAGAAAAUGAAUAAAAACGUUGCAUCAACUUAUUAACAUGCUGUUUUAAUCUUCAAAAUCUUGCAGUUUGCACUCAGGCUACUCUAUGUUGCAAUUGGAGUUGGACUAUCUGCUUUUGUUGGUAUGCAGAAAUUAGUUUAAAUUAGCUAGUGCUGUAUGAUGCAUGGCAUACAUGCAUAUCCUUCUGAUGUAACUUGCCCACAUAUUUAAAAGCUCUAUUUUUUUUUUGUUUUUUUGGAUGGUGGCAGAGGGAUUGUGCUGGGCAAGAACAGCAGAAAGACAGACUUCCAGGAUGAGACUGGAGUACCUGAAAUCUGUGCUUAGGCAAGAUGUUGGUUUCUUUGACACACAAGCAGCAGAUUCUUCCACCACUUUUCAGGUUGUCACCACUAUCUCGGCAGACUCCAAUACGAUCCAAGUCACCAUAGGUGAAAAGGUAAGCAUUUCACUUUCGUCUCUCUUGUCAAUUGUCAUCCCACCAAAAUGCACUCACUAAGGACAUCAUAAUUGUUCCGCCAAAUUCUAAAACAAUUUCAUCUUCUGAAUGUAGAUACCCGAUUGCCUGGCUUACAUGGGGUCCUUCUUCUUCUGCCUCAUAUUUUCCUUCAUUUUAUCCUGGAAGAUUACACUUGCUGCUCUACCAUUAAGCCUCACCUUCAUUGUUCCUGGACUUGGAUUUGGGACAUUAAUGAUGAACGUUGGCAUGAAAAUGAUUGAGUCUUAUGGAGUUGCUGGUGGAAUCGCAGAACAAGCAAUUUCCUCAAUCAGAACUGUAUAUUCUUAUGUAGCAGAGAAUCAAACUCUUGUGAAGUUUAGCAAUGCGCUUGAAAACACUAUGCAACUAGGUAUAAAGCAAGGGUUUGCAAGAGGCUUGAUGCUGGGAAGCAUGGGAGGUAUUUAUAUUAGCUGGGCUUUCCAAGCUUGGGCUGGUUCCCUUCUAGUUAGCAAAAGGGGAGAGAAGGGUGGAGACGUUUUUGUUGCAGGAUUCAAUGUUCUCAUGGGAGGAUUGUGAGCGAUUUCAUUCUAGCAUACUUGUCAGUUGGAGUAUUAGUUUUUCUUUGUUCAAUCUCUUUAUUAAAUCUUACUAUUCAAAAUGCUUGCAGAAAUAUUUUGACUGCACUUCCAAAUCUUACUGCCAUCACGGAAGCAAAGGCUGCUGCUAUUCGGAUUACUGAGAUGAUUGAUAGGCAGCCGACCAUUGAUAAUGAAGAUAAAAAGGGGAAAGCUUUAUCAUAUGUGAGAGGAGAAAUUGAGUUCAAAGGUGUCUAUUUUAGCUACCCUUCAAGGCCGGAUACACCCGUCCUACAAGGCCUGAAUCUUGUAUUCCCAGCAGGCAAAACAGUGGGACUUGUUGGGGAAGUGGUUCUGGCAAGUCCACCAUUGUUUCCUUACUGCAAAGAUUUUAUGACCCUAUUGAAGGUGAAAUAUUUUUGGACGGAUACAAGAUAAAGAGACUUCAUCUUAAAUGGUUAAGAUCCCAAAUGGGUCUGGUUAAUCAAGAACCAGUCCUCUUUGCAACUUCCAUAAAAGAAAACAUCCUCUUUGGAAGGGAUGGAGCAUCUAUGGAAGACAUGCAAACAGCAGCCAAGGCUGCUAAUGCCCAUGACUUCAUUAUUAAAUUACCUGAUGCUUAUGACACUCAAGUAAGGCAUCUCUACCUCUGAGUCUGAGACUAUUACUUUCUGGUACCUUGUUUUUUUUUUUAAAAUGGUUUCCUAUGGUGGUUUCUGGUGGUUGGAGUGUGUAUUUUUGUGGUGUAUGUUAUGCUAAAUUUUUGUGUUUUAAUUUCUUGAAGUGCUGCCAUUAUUCAAUUAUCAAGUGUUUGGACACUGGAUUUCUCCAGGUAGGACAAUUUGGAGUUCAAUUAUCCGGAGGACAGAGGCAACGAAUAGCCAUAGCAAGGGCUUUGCUGAGGGAUCCAAAAAUUUUGCUGCUUGAUGAAGCUACAAGUGCAUUAGAUACACAGUCUGAAAAUAUUGUGCAGCAGGCCAUUGAUAAUGCAGCUAUGGGGAGGACUGCAAUCGUCAUAGCUCAUCGUCUCUCCACAAUUAGAAUGGCAGAUUGGAUUGUGGUUCUUCAAUCAGGGAAAGUAGUUGAAUCAGGCACCCACAAUGAGCUUAUGCAGAUGAAUGGCGAAAAUGGUGGGGAAUACUUUAGAAUGGUGCAGUUGCAGCAACAAACGAUGCAAAAUGAAGCUGACAAUAGCUUUAACUAUCAGAGUGACUGGAAGAGUCCGUACAAAAGGACUGUCCUCCAAGUCCAUUGAGCGUCAGAUCAAGUGCACCAGGGACCCCAGCUCUCUAUGCUCUUAGUCCAGGCUUUUCGAGGAGUGCACCGUAUUCCACUCCUUACUCAAUCCAAUUUGAUGACUAUGACACUGAAGACGAAGAGUUUGACCACUGGGCUUCUCCUGCUCCUUCACAAUGGCGUUUGCUGAAAAUGAAUGCACCAGAGUGGGGCAGAGCCUUGCUUGGAUGCAUGGGGGCUAUAGGUUCUGGAGCUGUUCAACCGGUAAAUGCCUAUUGCGUGGGAGCGUUAAUAUCAGUUUACUUUCGACCUGAUAGACCUUCCAUCACAUCCCAUGCCAGAAACUACUCUUAUGUGUUUGUCGCCUGGGAGUCUUCAACUUCUUUACCAAUGUCCUGCAACAUUAUAAUUUCGCUGUCAUGGGGAAAAGUUAACCAAAAGAGUUAGGGAGAAGCUGCUUGAGAAACUUAUGACAUUCGAGAUCGGAUGGUUUGAUCGGGAUGAAAAUACUAGUGCUGCUAUAUGUGCACGUAUAUCAACCGAAGCUAACAUGGUUCGUUCCCUUGUAGGUGACCGAAUGUCGCUACUUGCCCAAGCAUUUUUUGGAGCUACUUUUGCUUAUGCACUAGGGCUAGUGCUAACUUGGAGGUUAGCCCUGGUGAUGAUGGCUGCUCAGCCAUUAGUGAUAGGAAGCUUCUAUGCUAGAAGUGUUUUGAUGAAAAGUAUGUCUGCAAAAGCUCAAAUUGCGCAGAAGGAAGGAAGCCAACUAGCAAGUGAAGCUGUUAUUAACCAUAGAACUAUUACGGCCUUCUCUUCUCAGAAAAAAAUUCUUGGGUUGUUCCAAGCAACAUUGGAGGGCCACGGAAGGAGAGCAUCAGACAAUCCUGGUUUGCAGGUUUUGGCCUGUUUAGUUCUCAAUUUCUGGCAGCGGCUUCUACAGCUUUAGCAUUUUGGUACGGCGGAAGGCUGUUAACAAAGGGCAAAUAUCUCCAGAGCGACUCUUUCAAGCAUUUUUGGCUCUGCUGUUCACAGCUUAUACCAUUGCAGAGCAGGAAGUAUGACAAAAGAUAUAUCUAGAGGAAGCAAUGCUGUCCGCUCAGUUUUUGCAAUUCUAGACAGAAAGGCUGAGAUUGAUCCAAAUGAUUCACAGGGACAUGACGCAACCAAAACAAGUAUUAGGGGUCGAGUGGAGUUGAAGCAUGUACACUUUGCUUAUCUAUCAAGACCUGAGACGUUAAUCCUUAAGGGCUUGAGCCUCAAAAUCAGUGCAGGAACUACAGUAGCACUGUUGGGCAAAGCGGAUGCGGCAAAUCAACAAUCCUUGGACUCAUUGAGAGAUUCUACGAUCCUCUUAAAGGUUCAGUAUGCAUUGAUGAAAGGGACAUAAAAGACUUCAAUUUGAGGACCUUGAGGACACAGAUUGCACUAGUCAGCCAAGAGCCAACCCUCUUCGCUGGAACUAUCUAUGAGAACAUUGCCUAUGGGAAGAAGGAUGCCAAGGAAUCUGAGAUAAGAAAGGCUGCAAUGCUUGCUAAUGCACAUGAGUUCAUAAGGUAUGAAGUCAAUGUUCACAAAUUCAGAAACUAAUUUCUUUUAGCACCAAUCCGAUAAAUCUAUUCUAACUCCGCUAGCAACAAAAGAGUUCCGUGACCUCUAACAUAAUAAUGUUAUAUUAACUGUAACAGUGGGAUGAAGGAUGGAUACGAGACAUACUGUGGAGAAAGAGGGGUUCAGCUGUCUGGUGGUCAAAAACAGAGAAUAGCAUUAGCUCGGGCGAUAUUAAAGAAUCCCAGAAUCCUACUAUUGGAUGAAGCAACCAGUGCUCUUGACAGUGUAUCAGAGAGCUUAGUUCAAGAAGCACUGGAGAGAAUGACGGCAGAAGAACAUGCAUUGUUGUGGCUCAUCGUUUAUCCUCAAUACAGAAAGCAAAUUCGAUUGUGGUGAUCAAGGAUGGAAAGGUUGCAGAGGAAGGUUCACAUUCUGAUCUUCUUUCGUUAGGACGUAAUGGCGCCUACUAUGCCCUUGUAAAAACACGGGAAGCAACUCUCCUUACCGGUGAAAUAGAGCAAACUUUUAGUAUACGUAGAUGGUGGGUAAGGCUGUAUAAGAGCCAUCUCCAGUUAUGUUCUCACCUGAAACUUCUGCGUUGUUCAUGAUUGAGAAGAUUAUGGUAUCCCUUUAUCAGUAUAUAGAUCAGUAUUUAGUUUGUUAUGCCAAAAUUUGUGUUCGAGUUGGUUGGUGAUGGACUUGUGCUCCUUAAAGAAUGUAAUAAUACCUACCAUUAAUGGGAAGUUGAUCUUGGGGAUUAGGCAGAGUUUUACUCUUCCAGGUGUACAUUAAUACCAAAAAAAAGGAAAAAUUAUGAAAGAAAUGAUUGUGCACUGUAUUGUAGAAAAUCUGAUAAGGCGGAACCAUGGCUUACUAUUUCUUUUCUGCAAAUUCUACUACUAGUUUCAAUCGUUCUCUUGUUUUCUUAAGGAAAAAAAAAGGCCGAAAAGAUCAAUAAUCUGGAAAUUAGGCUUACAAUGGAAGACUGAGCUAUGGAGUUACAGAUAAUCCAAUCGACGAUCAUAAUGGUACAAAGUAGAUUUGAGUACAAAUUUAAGAAUUAAGUAAAACGAAAACUUAACCUACCAAUAAUAACUACCAUAUAGGAUUCCACUAAAUGACGAAACCAUACUCAGAUUAAUACUUCCUCUCAAAGGAUUAAACCAAGACCCUGUGGCCUGCACUCACUACGAAAUCUAAAUCUAGGAUCCUUCAAAAAUUAGAAACUACAACAGCAGAACCAAGAAAUACAAUGCAAUCGAAAUUACCACUAGCCCAGGACAGCGAACCGACUCCGGUGCGCCGGACUUGAGUCUGAUGCCCUUCUUGUUGAUUUUUUACCAGAAUUAUUGACAUCCACAUUAGCCCCACCUUCAAGCCAUGUCUCUUGGUAUACCAAAAAAGAAUCUUGUACCUCACCCUAGUGGUCAAUCCCACCCGGAAAGUCACCGUGGACCCAUUUGACACCGCCCUGUAAGCAGCCUCCCAUGGCACCCCAUAUGUCUGCACCAGCUCUUUCCGGCGAGCUUUCUUGUCAUGACCCUGGUAGAAACUGGGACGGUAUAGUUUGCUAUUCCAAGGCUACCAUUUUGAACAUAAAAGAAGGUGAGAUUCAGAUCAUCAUAGCCUACACCUUUGUCCUUCAUUUCAUUCUUGAGCCUCAGAUCAAAGUAAAGAGUGUGGUUGCUUCUAGUAGUGGUGGAAUUAUCUGUUGCAUUCAGGGAAGGAACAUAAAAGUCUUCUAUGGAGCAUGAGGGUUUAGACCCACGAAGACUUAGCCACAUGAAAAGGCUGUUAGGCCUGAGGUCAAUAUGAAGCUGCAGCAGCAUCGGCAACACCCUCCUGCACUGCUGCUGGGGUCUGACAUGCUUGGAAAAAAUGGUGGUUCUCCGGUGAAGUAUUAUGAGGGACUACCAGUGAACAAAGUAGUCAGGAAACAAAUGAUGCCAGUGGAAAGAAAAGAAUCAAUUCAAUUGUGAAGACUAGAAAGAAGAAACACUGCAGGCAGGAAUAAUUGUUGUGUUUCGUGCUUUAUUAAAAGGAAAAUUGAUCAGUACGUGUAGGCCGCGUUGCUUUUGGUUUGGACUUUGGAGAGACUUCCGUAACAUGAAUGGGGAUCUCUGCUGAAAUUUCCUGGUUCGCUCCAAGAAAUUGAGGUCAACUCGUGCAUUGACUUAGCACUCUGCAAACUUUUAGCAGUAGAUUCGUUAACCUUUUCUUAAUGGGAAAUUGUGGGACAAUGUGGUUUAAUGGGGAUUGGUCAUUGGAGCAACUUACGAGGAGCAUUUACUGCAGUAAAGAUUAAGAAAAUUGUGGUUUAAUGCGGAUUGGCCACUGGAGUAACUCAGGAGGAGCAUUUACUUUAGUAAAAAAAAUGUUGUAAUUGAAAAGAACAAAUUACUUUUAGGUAUGUCAGAUAUGAACUACAUUUAGCGGAUUACAUUCAUCGAUUCACGAGCCAGAGAGCUUUGCUGUGACUCUCAUAUACCGCUAAAUUGGAUCACAAUAAACACAAAGACCCUUUAAGUUGAAUUUUGAAGGCCAUCCAAAAGUAAUUUUACCCUUUUUUGGCUCCAGAGAAUACCGUUCCUUUUUUUGGCUCCUGUAAUUGUUUUGGUCAUUGGCUUGAAGAAUGUAACAAUCGAUAAAAGAAGACCCGGCCUGGUCUACAAUACCGCGUAAAUGGUGCAUUAGGCGCUUCAAGGAAGGAAAAGGUACAAUGCUUCAGUUGGGAUAUCUAUUGGGGAUCACGUCACGUUAGAAAUUGGACCUGCUAUAAAAGCUAAACAAUGAUUAGCUCAAUUACUUUGAGGCAUAUUUGUAAUUUUACUUAAAUCUCCUAAAACAUCAGCAGAUAACCGACUAGCAGCUUAAGAUGGUUAAACGUCCCAGUAUGCUGUGAACUGCCCUUGCAUGAUUACCAUGACUUCUUUGGUUCUGCCUCCCGACAGGACGAGAAGCUUGGAGUAGAAAUUUUAAAAUAGAUAUUUAACUAUGAGCUACGCCAUAGCAACUUAUUAGCAACCACAUCAUAUCAGGUCCCCUGUCUGAGCAACUAACAACCAAACUAUUCAGGCAAAAAAGUGCAAACGCAACAAGAACGUGAAUUGUAUCACUUGCAUCAGCAUUCUCAACUGGCAUACAGCCUAAAAGAUUUAAGCCAUGUCAAGUCUAUCAAAACUUCUAAGGUUGUCUUCCAAACUUAAGACUAACAAGCAAAGCCAUAUAUGCAUGUCUUGAGGAAAAAAAGAUGAUGAAUGAACUCAAAUACAACACCAUGAUGUUAAACAGCACUCUAUGUAUAUACAUUGAUCAUGCGGUCAAGCAACAUGUU
This 14625-nucleotide long non-coding RNA is filed under the name Coffea arabica (coffee). RNAcentral's name for it is "long non-coding RNA (CARA_LNC003910)". The record is from RNAcentral. Lineage: Eukaryota; Viridiplantae; Streptophyta; Magnoliopsida; Gentianales; Rubiaceae.